GUCUAGGGCCAUACCACCCUAAGCGUGCCCAAUCUUGUCUGAUCUCAGAAGCUAAGCAGGAUCAGGGCUGGUUAGUACUUGGAUGGGAGACAGUACUGACAAUCACUAACCUGUUACU
Molecule: ribosomal RNA, 118 nt
Filed under: Castor canadensis (American beaver)
Lineage: Eukaryota; Metazoa; Chordata; Mammalia; Rodentia; Castoridae
Source: RNAcentral